Molecule: ribosomal RNA, 253 nt
Filed under: uncultured bacterium
Lineage: Bacteria
Description: partial 16S ribosomal RNA
Rfam family: Bacterial small subunit ribosomal RNA
Source: RNAcentral
UACGAAGGGGGCUAGCGUUGCUCGGAAUCACUGGGCGUAAAGCGCACGUAGGCGGCUUUUUAAGUCAGGGGUGAAAUCCUGGAGCUCAACUCCAGAACUGCCUUUGAUACUGAGAAGCUCGAGUCCGGGAGAGGUGAGUGGAACUGCGAGUGUAGAGGUGAAAUUCGUAGAUAUCGGGAGGAACACCGGUGGCGAAGGCGGCGACCUGGGACAAUACUGACGCUGAGGUGCGAAAGCGUGGGGAGCAAACAGG